Molecule: long non-coding RNA, 887 nt
Organism: Pongo pygmaeus (Bornean orangutan)
Lineage: Eukaryota; Metazoa; Chordata; Mammalia; Primates; Hominidae
Exons: 4
Source: RefSeq, a predicted model, not a curated record
ACAGAGAGGCUGCGUGGAAUUAGAGUGUGGACAUGGGGAGCGGUUUCCAGGAGGAGGGUCUACACUCUCCUGCCCUCUUGCAAGAUCUGCACGCCCCCCUCCCGCAGCUCCAAAAAACAAAACAAAAAGCCAAAAAGCCAAAAAUCACACUGCAUGUGUCAAGGCCUGGGAAGCCUCUGGAGGAGGAAGCCUCCUACGCACCCCAGACACCCUAACAGGGGCACCACACAAGAGCAGCCAUUCUCAGCACCUGACAAAGGCCGUCGUGGCUUCCAGCACUUCGGAGGUUUAGGAUUGGAAACUGCUGCCCACAGAAAGGAAAGGAAGGUGGUGCUAUUUAGGACUUGCAGGAUAGGACUUGCGUGCCCAGCCUCGGAGGAGACCUCAGCCACUGCAUGUGUGUCUGCAAGAAUGGGACCAGGCAGUGGUGGUGAAGACAGACGACAGCACCUGUCUCAGAAAACGUUUUUAGGAGUCGGCGUGGUAACGGAAGAUGGGGUUUCGCCAUGUUGCCCGGCCUGGUCUCGGACUCCUAGACUCAAGCGAUCCCCCACCUCGGCCUCCCAAAGUGCUGGGAUUACAGCCAAUUCUUUUAGAGCCACCAAGCUUCUCCCUGCAGUCAUCCUGCCCAUGGCUGUUGAUGGCCCUGAUGGGGCUUGGAGCCCCCAGAAUGUGCAGAAGUUGGACAAAGGUGGUCUUCAAAUGCAAUGGUUGUCUUAUCACCGAAAACCCACGGCAUCCAGAGGAGGCCCUUCACUACGAAGGUUACAGAGACCACAGGUCUCUGUACAUCCCAAGUUUCCCCUGCUGCCAAAGGCAGGGGAGGAGAGAAUUCUGGAAGCCCACCCUGUCGCACGGCUCCUCUGGCACAUGGAGCCACUGAAUGU